Molecule: transfer RNA, 73 nt
Filed under: Stegodyphus mimosarum
Lineage: Eukaryota; Metazoa; Arthropoda; Arachnida; Araneae; Eresidae
Rfam family: tRNA
About the family: Transfer RNA (tRNA) molecules are approximately 80 nucleotides in length. Their secondary structure includes four short double-helical elements and three loops (D, anti-codon, and T loops).
Source: Rfam by way of RNAcentral
GCCUUCGUGGUUUAGUGGUCAGCACACUCGGCGCGUAUUCGAGAGGUCCGUGGUUCGAGUCCCGGAGAGGGCA